GACGAACGCUGGCGGCGUGCUUAACACAUGCAAGUCGAACGGAAAGGCCCUGCUUGCAGGGUACUCGAGUGGCGAACGGGUGAGUAACACGUGGGUGAUCUGCCCUGCACUUCGGGAUAAGCCUGGGAAACUGGGUCUAAUACCGGCUAGGAGCCAUUUUUAGUGUGAUGGUUGGAAAGUUUUUUCGGUGUAGGAUGAGCUCGCGGCCUAUCAGCUUGUUGGUGGGGUAAUGGCCUACCAAGGCGGCGACGGGUAGCCGGCCUGAGAGGGUGGACGGCCACACUGGGACUGAGAUACGGCCCAGACACCUACGGGAGGCAGCAGUGGGGAAGAUUGCACAAUGGGCGCAAGCCUGAUGCAGCGACGCCGCGGGGGGGAUGACGGCCUUCGGGUUGUAAACUCCUUUCGCUAGGGACGAAGCUUUUUGUGACGGUACCUAGAUAAGAAGCACCGGCUAACUACGUG
Molecule: ribosomal RNA, 465 nt
Filed under: uncultured bacterium
Lineage: Bacteria
Description: partial 16S ribosomal RNA
Rfam family: Bacterial small subunit ribosomal RNA
Source: RNAcentral